RNAcentral lists this ribosomal RNA (253 nucleotides) under uncultured bacterium. Its description in RNAcentral is "partial 16S ribosomal RNA". It matches the Rfam family "Bacterial small subunit ribosomal RNA", at positions 524 to 776 of the family's 1533-position model. The record is from RNAcentral.
UACAGAGGGUGCAAGCGUUAAUCGGAAUUACUGGGCGUAAAGCGUGCGUAGACGGUUACAUAAGUCGGGUGUGAAAGCCCCGGGCUCAACCUGGGAAUUGCAUUCGAGACUGCGUAGCUAGGGUGCGGAAGAGGGAAGCGGAAUUUCCGGUGUAGCGGUGAAAUGCGUAGAGAUGUGGAGGAACACCGAUGGCGAAGGCAGCCCCCUGGGCCAACACUGACGCUCAGGCACGAAAGCGUGGGGAGCAAACAGG